CUUGCUCUCUGGGUGACGAGCGGCGGACGGGUGAGUAAUGUCUGGGAAACUGCCUGAUGGAGGGGGAUAACUACUGGAAACGGUAGCUAAUACCGCAUAACGUCUUCGGACCAAAGUGGGGGACCUUCGGGCCUCACGCCAUCAGAUGUGCCCAGAUGGGAUUAGCUAGUAGGUGGGGUAAUGGCUCACCUAGGCGACGAUCCCUAGCUGGUCUGAGAGGAUGACCAGCCACACUGGAACUGAGACACGGUCCAGACUCCUACGGGAGGCAGCAGUGGGGAAUAUUGCACAAUGGGCGCAAGCCUGAUGCAGCCAUGCCGCGUGUGUGAAGAAGGCCUUCGGGUUGUAAAGCACUUUCAGCGAGGAGGAAGGGUGGUGUGUUAAUAGCGCAUCACAUUGACGUUACUCGCAGAAGAAGCACCGGCUAACUCCGUGCCAGCAGCCGCGGUAAUACGGAGGGUGCAAGCGUUAAUCGGAAUUACUGGGCGUAAAGCGCACGCAGGCGGUUUGUUAAGUCAGAUGUGAAAUCCCCGCGCUUAACGUGGGAACUGCAUUUGAAACUGGCAAGCUAGAGUCUUGUAGAGGGGGGUAGAAUUCCAGGUGUAGCGGUGAAAUGCGUA
RNAcentral lists this ribosomal RNA (620 nucleotides) under uncultured bacterium. RNAcentral's name for it is "bacterial SSU rRNA". It matches the Rfam family "Bacterial small subunit ribosomal RNA", at positions 75 to 692 of the family's 1533-position model. The record is from RNAcentral.